Molecule: ribosomal RNA, 779 nt
Filed under: uncultured Neocallimastigales
Lineage: Eukaryota; Fungi; Neocallimastigomycota; Neocallimastigomycetes; Neocallimastigales
Description: partial large subunit ribosomal RNA
Rfam family: Eukaryotic large subunit ribosomal RNA
Source: RNAcentral
UAUCUCUGUAGAGUCUGCAUAUCAAUAAGCGGAGGAAAAGAAACUAACUAGGAUUCCCUCAGUAACGGCGAGUGAAGCGGGAAGAGCUCAAAUUUGAAAUCUUCAAGGUUCUACCUUGACGAAUUGUAGUUUAAAGAAGUGUUUUCUGUUGGAGUUUUGGUAAAAGUUCUUCGGAAUAGGACAUCAUAGAGGGUGAGAAUCCCGUAUUUGACCAUUAUUUCCAGCUUUGUGAUACACUUUCAAAGAGUCGGAUUGUUUGGGAAUGCAGUCCAAAAUGGGUGGUAAAUUUCAUCUAAAGCUAAAUACUGGCGAGAGACCGAUAGCGAACAAGUACCGUGAGGGAAAGAUGAAAAGAACUUUGAAAAGAGAGUUAAACAGUACGUGAAAUUGUCAAAAGGGAAGCGUUUGACACCAGUGUUGUUUUCUCGAAAAUCAAUUAAAAAAGGCAGGAUUUUGUAUUGUAAUUGACCUUUAUCAGCUUUACUGCUACUCUUUUCUUGUCUUUUUUUAAUGCACUUUUCGUUUAACAAGUCAACAUCAAUUUCUUUUGUUGUAAAAGGGUCAUUGGAAGGUGGCUUUCUUUUCGGAGAAAGUGUUUAUAGCCUUUGGCCUCUGCAAUCGGAGAGAUUGAGGUCUGCAGCGUAGAUCCUUCGGGGUUAGAUACAUUUGUGCUAAGUUAUAGCCUUUCAUAGACAACUUGUUGACUAUGAUCAGUCAUGUAGCUUACUCGCUUAUGCUAUUUUACCUACGCUUAGGAUGUUGAUAGUCACAGCGUGUAC